RNAcentral lists this unclassified non-coding RNA (343 nucleotides) under soil metagenome. RNAcentral's name for it is "partial contains 5.8S ribosomal RNA, internal transcribed spacer 2, and large subunit ribosomal RNA". The stretch from base 1 to 120 matches the Rfam family "5.8S ribosomal RNA", at positions 35 to 154 of the family's 154-position model. The record is from RNAcentral.
GAUGAAGAACGUAGCGAAAUGCGAUAAGUAAUGUGAAUUGCAGAAUCCAGUGAAUCAUCGAAUCUUUGAACGCACAUUGCGCCCGCCAGCAUUCUGGCGGGCAUGCCUGUUCGAGCAUCAUUUCAACCCUCGACCUCCCUUUGGGGAAGUCGGCGUUGGGGACCGGCAGCACACCGCCGGCCCUGAAAUGGAGUGGCGGCCCGUCCGCGGCGACCUCUGCGUAGUAAUCCAACUCGCACCGGAACCCCGACGCGGCCACGCCGUAAAACACCCAACUUCUGAACGUUGACCUCGAAUCAGGUAGGACUACCCGCUGAACUUAAGCAUAUCAAUAAGCGGAGGA